RNAcentral lists this ribosomal RNA (468 nucleotides) under uncultured bacterium. RNAcentral describes it as "partial 16S ribosomal RNA". It matches the Rfam family "Bacterial small subunit ribosomal RNA", at positions 28 to 507 of the family's 1533-position model. The record is from RNAcentral.
GAUGAGCGCUGGCGGCGUGCUUAACACAUGCAAGUCGAACGGUGAAGGCGGAGCUUGCUCUGCUGGAUCAGUGGCGAACGGGUGAGUAACACGUGAGCAAUCUGCCCCUGACUCUGGGAUAAGCGCUGGAAACGGCGUCUAAUACUGGAUACGAGCUGCGAAGGCAUCUUCAGCAGCUGGAAAGAACUUCGGUCAGGGAUGAGCUCGCGGCCUAUCAGCUUGUUGGUGAGGUAACGGCUCACCAAGGCGUCGACGGGUAGCCGGCCUGAGAGGGUGACCGGCCACACUGGGACUGAGACACGGCCCAGACUCCUACGGGAGGCAGCAGUGGGGAAUAUUGCACAAUGGGCGAAAGCCUGAUGCAGCAACGCCGCGUGAGGGACGACGGCCUUCGGGUUGUAAACCUCUUUUAGCAGGGAAGAAGCGAAAGUGACGGUACCUGCAGAAAAAGCGCCGGCUAACUACGUG